RNAcentral lists this long non-coding RNA (520 nucleotides) under Callithrix jacchus (white-tufted-ear marmoset). RNAcentral's name for it is "lncRNA (ENSCJAG00000069397.2)". The record is from RNAcentral. Lineage: Eukaryota; Metazoa; Chordata; Mammalia; Primates; Cebidae.
ACUCACACAGUGUGUUAAAUUAUGGGAUAACCUGGAGACUUGAAAUGGCACCAACUUUCCUAUCUGUGAAGAGACACUUUAGGAAGAAUAAAGCUUCAGGAGGAGAAAAGACAAAGAUUUCUACUGAAUCAGGGAUGUGAGAUCUAUCGACCAUCAGCUCAUCUGUGUGUAAGAUCCAGUUGAGGAGGUAAGUAUCUGCACAUCAUUCCUGACUCAACUGAUUUUUCUUUUCUUGCUUUGGGAAAUGGUGUCGGACUUAUAUUCAGAAUCAAAAAUGUUUUUCUGAUUAGAUUGUGGUGACCAGUACAGAGCUAUCUUUGAUGGGUGAUAAAUUUGAAAGCAAACAUAUAUAAUAUCUAGUCUUACCUUAACUAAUGUGACAUUUUCAUUUUUUUUGGUCUGAGGAGCAAGUUGAAAAUGAUCAGGACAUGCCAUCAAUACCCCAAGGCACCAUGCUGCCUUGGGGUACUGAUUACUUGGAGUAGAGGACACUUGAAACACAGCAACUGAAAGAAGAGCC